Molecule: ribosomal RNA, 400 nt
Filed under: uncultured bacterium
Lineage: Bacteria
Description: bacterial SSU rRNA
Rfam family: Bacterial small subunit ribosomal RNA
Source: RNAcentral
UGGGGAAUAUUGGACAAUGGGGGAAACCCUGAUCCAGCGAUGCCGCGUGAAUGAAGAAGGCCUUAGGGUUGUAAAGUUCUUUCACCUGUGACGAUGAUGACGGUAACAGGAGAAGAAGCCCCGGCUAACUCCGUGCCAGCAGCCGCGGUAAGACGGAGGGGGCUAGUGUUGUUUGGAAUGUCUGGGCGUAAAGGUCGCGUAGGCGGUUUAUCAAGUCAAGUGUGAAAGCCUUGAGCUUAACCCAAGAAUUGCGCUUGAUACUGAUAAGAUCGAGGAAGAUGGAAGAAAGCGGAAAUCAUAAUGUAAAGGUGAAAUUCGCAGAUAUUAGGAAGAACACCAGAGGCGAAGGCGGCUUUCUGGAUAAUAUCUGACGCUGAGGCGCGAAAGCGUGGGGAGCAAA